GUGAGGAAUAUUGCGCAAUGGAGGCAACUCUGACGCAGCCAUGCCGCGUGCAGGAAGAAGGCGCUACGCGUUGUAAACUGCUUUUAACCGGGAAGAAACCCCAGGACGUGUCCUGGGUUGACGGUACCGGAGGAAUAAGCACCGGCUAACUUCGUGCCAGCAGCCGCGGUAAUACGAAGGGUGCAAGCGUUAUCCGGAUUCAUUGGGUUUAAAGGGUGCGUAGGCGGAGCGUUAAGUCAGUGGUGAAAUCCUGCAGCUUAACUGUAGACUUGCAAUUGAUACUGGCGCUCUUGAGUGCGCUUGAAGUGGGCGGAAUGUGCCGUGUAGCGGUGAAAUGCUUAGAUAUGGCACAGAACACCAAUUGCGAAGGCAGCUCACUAAGGCGAUACUGACGCUGAGGCACGAAAGCGUGGGGAUCGAACAGGAUUAGAAACCCGAGUAGUCC
RNAcentral lists this ribosomal RNA (445 nucleotides) under uncultured bacterium. RNAcentral describes it as "bacterial SSU rRNA". It matches the Rfam family "Bacterial small subunit ribosomal RNA", at positions 354 to 796 of the family's 1533-position model. The record is from RNAcentral.